CGUAGGGGGCUAGCGUUGUCCGGAUUUAUUGGGCGUAAAGAGCGUGUAGGCGGCCAGGUAGGUCUGCUGUGAAAACUCGAGGCUCAACCUCGAGACGUCGGCGGAAACCAUCUGGCUAGAGUCCGGAAGAGGAGAGUGGAAUUCCUGGUGUAGCGGAGAAAUGCGCAGAUAUCAGGAAGAACACCCGUGGCGAAGGCGGCUCUCUGGGACGGUACUGACGCUGAGACGCGUAAGCGUGGGGAGCGAACAGGAUUAGAUACCCUGGUAGUCCACGCCGUAAACGAUGGGUGCUAGGUGUGGGCGGUGUCGACUCCGUCCGUGCCGAAGCUAACGCAUUAAGCACCCCGCCUGGGGAGUACGGCCGCAAGGCUA
Molecule: ribosomal RNA, 372 nt
Filed under: uncultured organism
Description: bacterial SSU rRNA
Rfam family: Bacterial small subunit ribosomal RNA
Source: RNAcentral